GUAGUUAGCCGUGGCUUCCUCCCAUGGUACCGUCAUUUCUUUCUUCCCAUAGGACAGAUGUUUACAAUCCGAAGACCUUCUUCCUUCACGCGGCGUUGCUGGGUCAGGCUUGCGCCCAUUGCGCAAGAUUCCCCACUGCUGCCUCCCGUAGGAGUCUGGGCCGUGUCUCAGUCCCAAUGUGGCCGGUCAUCCUCUUAGAUCGGCUACCCAUCGUCGCCUUGGUGAGCCGUUACCUCUCCAACUAGCUAAUGGGACGCGAACUCACCCCAAAGCGGAUCUCUCCUUUUACCCCUUCGCCAUGUGACGUUGUGGUCUUAUGCGGUAUUAGCAACUGUUUCCAGUUGGUAUCCCCCUCUUUGGGACAGAUUGUUCACGCGUUACUCACCCGUCCGCCACUCGAUCACAACCGAAGCUAUGACCUCGUUCGACUUGCAUGUGUUAAGCACGCCGCCAGCGUUCAUCCUGAGCCAANAUACAACCUACANANAGAGGCGNGNGAGACGCG
RNAcentral lists this ribosomal RNA (505 nucleotides) under uncultured bacterium. Its description in RNAcentral is "partial 16S ribosomal RNA". The record is from RNAcentral.